UUGUGAGCCAGAUCAAAACCCUGUCCUGGGGAGACAAUUGGGUAUGUCCAGGUGCAGUUGUUCAAUGUGAUUUAGUCCCUACCAGGAGGUCUGGUUGCCUGGGUUCAGAACAGCAGAGGAAAAAUUAGACAAAAGACACAUUCAGAAGUCAAGGUGCUCUGACAGUUCAGCAGACAUAUGACCUAACUUCAACCAGCAGACAGGAUCUGACCUAGGAAAGAUGAAGACAAAAACCAGAUCUCAAACAGAUGUAUUGUAGUUCAAGGUAGGGCAAUCAGACCUGUAGGAAGACUGAGCAGGCCACUGAAUUGGGCCCCCGAAAGAGAAGCCCAGACAUGAGGACUGGACCCACCCAGGAACUGGGAGUAAAGCAAUUUGGGGACAGUUGGGUCCUAGGCCUCGCCUCUAGGAAACCUGGAUUGCCCAGUCGGUGCUGAAGGUGUCUCAGAUCUGCUUGGAUCUAUAAUAUUGGACCUGAUUUUCUAUGCAGGUACAGUCACAUUUAUGUCUUUUAAUAAUAGAGUUCAUCCAUCAUACAAGAUUGAUGAUCCCUGCAGAAGUUAAAAGUCUAGGAAUAAGAAAUUUGCACUUUAAAGAAGUCUUUCCUUUGUCUUACGGCUUCCAGAAUUCCUGAUGAGGAGUCUGCUAUCAAUCUUAUCUUGUGGCUUUGAAGUUCUGCAGGCUGUACAAGAGACACGGCACCAACAUCUGCAUCUGGGGAGGACUUCAGGCUACUUCAUUCACAGCACAAAAUGAAGGGGAGCAGUGUGUGCUGAGAUCACGUGGUGGUGAGAGAGGAAGCAAGAGAGAGAGAAUGGACUCAAUGGGCUCCUGAACAAAAUUCUUACAAUGGCAGGGAUGGAGACCACACAUCUACUCAACACAAAGACUUUGCCUCAGGAGGCUGACCUGGAUAAGACCAUGCUGUGUACCCAAAUGGCCAGCAGAAGCCCACACUGAGCCCCAUACAUAGCACCAUGCUCCAGGCAUAUUAGCCUCAAUCUGAGGACAGACUGAGUAUAUUGGACCCCUUGCAGCAUGGAGAGGUCAGUGAUGUUUUUCUUCCUGGAAUACUUAGUGUGAGUACCCACUUUCCUUCCCAAAAAUACCAUCUGUGGGA
RNAcentral lists this long non-coding RNA (1120 nucleotides) under Homo sapiens (human). RNAcentral's name for it is "HSALNT0337242". The record is from RNAcentral. Lineage: Eukaryota; Metazoa; Chordata; Mammalia; Primates; Hominidae.